GGGCCCGCACAAGCGGUGGAGCAUGUGGUUUAAUUCGAUGAUACGCGAGGAACCUUACCAGGGCUUAAAUGUAGUGGGACAGGUCUAGAGAUAGACCCUUCUUCGGACUCAUUACAAGGUGCUGCAUGGUUGUCGUCAGCUCGUGCCGUGAGGUGUCAGGUUAAGUCCUAUAACGAGCGCAACCCCUAUCGUUAGUUGCCAGCGGGUAAUGCCGGGAACUCUAGCGAAACUGCCGGUGCAAACCGUGAGGAAGGUGGGGAUGACGUCAAAUCAUCACGGCCCUUACGUCCUGGGCUACACACGUGCUACAAUGGUCGGUACAGAGAGCAGCCACUACGCGAGUAGGAGCGAAUCUUCAAAACCGAUCUCAGUUCGGAUCGCAGUCUGCAACUCGACUGCGUGAAGCUGGAAUC
Molecule: ribosomal RNA, 413 nt
Filed under: uncultured bacterium
Lineage: Bacteria
Description: bacterial SSU rRNA
Rfam family: Bacterial small subunit ribosomal RNA
Source: RNAcentral